UUCCACAGGGGGAGCUUUUGCUGAGAGUGAAUCGAUUCUAUUCGGUAUUCCGGAUAGGCUCAUUCAGACCCUUUGAACCUGUCUAGUUAAUACUAGCGUAGGGAUUGUGGA
Molecule: non-coding RNA, 111 nt
Filed under: Bacillus andreraoultii
Lineage: Bacteria; Bacillati; Bacillota; Bacilli; Caryophanales; Bacillaceae
Source: RNAcentral